This 1352-nucleotide ribosomal RNA is filed under the name uncultured bacterium. RNAcentral's name for it is "bacterial SSU rRNA". It matches the Rfam family "Bacterial small subunit ribosomal RNA", at positions 28 to 1381 of the family's 1533-position model. The record is from RNAcentral.
AUUGAACGCUGGCGGCAUGCCUUACACAUGCAAGUCGAACGGUAACGGGUCCUUCGGGAUGCCGACGAGUGGCGAACGGGUGAGUAAUAUAUCGGAACGUGCCCAGUAGUGGGGGAUAACUGCUCGAAAGAGCAGCUAAUACCGCAUACGACCUGAGGGUGAAAGGGGGGGAUCGCAAGACCUCUCGCUAUUGGAGCGGCCGAUAUCAGAUUAGCUAGUUGGUGGGGUAAAGGCCUACCAAGGCAACGAUCUGUAGUUGGUCUGAGAGGACGACCAGCCACACUGGGACUGAGACACGGCCCAGACCCCUACGGGAGGCAGCAGUGGGGAAUUUUGGACAAUGGGCGCAAGCCUGAUCCAGCAAUGCCGCGUGCAGGAAGAAGGCCUUCGGGUUGUAAACUGCUUUUGUCAGGGAAGAAAUCUUCUGGGCUAAUACCCCGGGAGGAUGACGGUACCUGAAGAGUAAGCACCGGCUAACUACGUGCCAGCAGCCGCGGUAAUACGUAGGGUGCGAGCGUUAAUCGGAAUUACUGGGCGUAAAGCGUGCGCAGGCGGCUUUGCAAGACAGAUGUGAAAUCCCCGGGCUCAACCUGGGAACUGCAUUUGUGACUGCAAGGCUAGAGUACGGCAGAGGGGGAUGGAAUUCCGCGUGUAGCAGUGAAAUGCGUAGAUAUGCGGAGGAACACCAAUGGCGAAGGCAAUCCCCUGGGCCUGUACUGACGCUCAUGCACGAAAGCGUGGGGAGCAAACAGGAUUAGAUACCCUGGUAGUCCACGCCCUAAACGAUGUCAACUGGUUGUUGGACGGCUUGCUGUUCAGUAACGAAGCUAACGCGUGAAGUUGACCGCCUGGGGAGUACGGCCGCAAGGUUGAAACUCAAAGGAAUUGACGGGGUCCCGCACAAGCGGUGGAUGAUGUGGUUUAAUUCGAUGCAACGCGAAAAACCUUACCUACCCUUGACAUGUCAAGAAUUCUGCAGAGAUGUGGAAGUGCUCGAAAGAGAACUUGAACACAGGUGCUGCAUGGCCGUCGUCAGCUCGUGUCGUGAGAUGUUGGGUUAAGUCCCGCAACGAGCGCAACCCUUGUCAUUAGUUGCUACGCAAGAGCACUCUAAUGAGACUGCCGGUGACAAACCGGAGGAAGGUGGGGAUGACGUCAGGUCCUCAUGGCCCUUAUGGGUAGGGCUACACACGUCAUACAAUGGCCGGUACAGAGGGCUGCCAACCCGCGAGGGGGAGCCAAUCCCAGAAAACCGGUCGUAGUCCGGAUCGUAGUCUGCAACUCGACUGCGUGAAGUCGGAAUCGCUAGUAAUCGCGGAUCAGCUUGCCGCGGUGGAUACGUUCCCGGGUCU